AGAGUUGAUCAGUGGCUCAGGACGAACGCUGGCGGCGUGCCUAACACAUGCAAGUCGAGCGAGGAGAUCCUCGGGAUGAUCCUAGCGGCGGACGGGUGAGUAACACGUGGGCAACCUGCCUCAUAGAGAGGAAUAGCCUUCCGAAAGGGAGAUUAAUACCUCAUAACAUUGCAGUUUCGCAUGGAACAGCAAUUAAAGGAGCAAUCCGCUAUGAGAUGGGCCCGCGGCGCAUUAGCUAGUUGGUGAGGUAACGGCUCACCAAGGCGACGAUGCGUAGCCGACCUGAGAGGGUGAUCGGCCACAUUGGGACUGAGACACGGCCCAGACUCCUACGGGAGGCAGCAGUGGGGAAUAUUGCACAAUGGGGGAAACCCUGAUGCCAGCAACGCCGCGUGAGUGAUGACGGCCUUCGGGUUGUAAAGCUCUGUCUUCAGGGACGAUAAUGACGGUACCUGAGGAGGAAGCCACGGCUAACUACGUGCCAGCCGCCGC
Molecule: ribosomal RNA, 492 nt
Filed under: uncultured bacterium
Lineage: Bacteria
Description: bacterial SSU rRNA
Rfam family: Bacterial small subunit ribosomal RNA
Source: RNAcentral